UCCCGGCUAGCUCAGUCAGUAGAGCACGAGACUCUUAAUCUUGGGAUUGUGGGUUCAAGCCCCACGUUGGGCA
Molecule: non-coding RNA, 73 nt
Organism: Octopus sinensis (East Asian common octopus)
Lineage: Eukaryota; Metazoa; Mollusca; Cephalopoda; Octopoda; Octopodidae
Source: the annotation of a RefSeq genome assembly